This 484-nucleotide ribosomal RNA is filed under the name uncultured bacterium. RNAcentral describes it as "bacterial SSU rRNA". It matches the Rfam family "Bacterial small subunit ribosomal RNA", at positions 29 to 507 of the family's 1533-position model. The record is from RNAcentral.
AUUGAACGCUGGCGGCAUGCUUUACACAUGCAAGUCGAACGGUAACAGGGAGCUUGCUCCGCUGACGAGUGGCGAACGGGUGAGUAAUGCAUCGGAACGUACCCAGUCGUGGGGGAUAACGUAGCGAAAGUUACGCUAAUACCGCAUACGUCCUGAGGGAGAAAGCGGGGGACCGUAAGGCCUCGCGCGAUUGGAGCGGCCGAUGUCGGAUUAGCUAGUUGGUGGGGUAAAGGCCUACCAAGGCGACGAUCCGUAGCGGGUCUGAGAGGAUGAUCCGCCACACUGGGACUGAGACACGGCCCAGACUCCUACGGGAGGCAGCAGUGGGGAAUUUUGGACAAUGGGGGCAACCCUGAUCCAGCCAUGCCGCGUGAGUGAAGAAGGCCUUCGGGUUGUAAAGCUCUUUCAGACGGAAAGAAAACGCAUCGGUGAAUACCCGGUGUGGAUGACGGUACCGUAAGAAGAAGCACCGGCUAACUACGUG